This 726-nucleotide long non-coding RNA is filed under the name Ananas comosus (pineapple). RNAcentral's name for it is "long non-coding RNA (ACOM_LNC007294)". Lineage: Eukaryota; Viridiplantae; Streptophyta; Magnoliopsida; Poales; Bromeliaceae. The record is from RNAcentral.
AAGUCCUCUUAUAUACAAUUAGCCCCUCAAAAUACUAUUACAACCAGCAGUUUAGCUUUCAGAAUCUGAUACUUUUCACCGGAGCCCUUCUGAAUGUCCGUUUGCGCUCAAAUUUGACAGUCAGGCUCGGUUUUACUUAAUAAGUACAAAAAAAUUUCAAUCUUUCAGUUUCGACCAUUUUUGGUCAUCGAAAGCUCUACCGAACUGAAAUCUCUAGCAGAUAGCAGUCGGAUUUUAUUUUCCACCUUCCGGGUGUCAGAAUGACAUGAAACUUUAAAUCUAGCCUCAUAAAAAUAAUUCUGACAUAUUCUCCAAUUUUCAUAAUUUUCUAACACUGUGUAUUUUCUGCUAAAAUAACAACUGUUUCUUAAAGAAAUUCUAAAUUUUCUAUUUCCGUUCCGAUUUCAGCACAAGUCAUUCCCGACUUAUAUUUUACUUCUUUAAGUCCAAUAAAAAAGUAUCUUACACUAUUUUUAUUUAUAUUUACUUUUAUAUUAAAAUUCGGUACAUUACACCAGGUAAAGAAACGAGAGAAAACACGAGCUGAGAGUCAACUUUUUGUCGCGGGCCAGUGCUAUGGCGAUAGGGAUGAGGUUCCAAUUGAUCUUUUGUGAUCGAGUGCAAAAGAGAUUAUGACAGAGCAAGUAGAGGAGGAAAGUGCUAUACUUCUUCCUAAUUAUUGGAGUAGGGGUGUAGUACACUGAACUUUAGCAAAAUUGCGAAGUU